Bactrocera oleae (olive fruit fly) is the source of this 996-nucleotide non-coding RNA. The record is from RefSeq and is a predicted model, not a curated record. NCBI's taxonomy places the organism in Eukaryota, Metazoa, Arthropoda, Insecta, Diptera, Tephritidae.
AAAUUUAAUAAAAAGAAAUUUUUAGUAUUCAUCAAACACUAUUUUCAUACAAACGUGCAGCACAACUUGUACGAGAAAAAGCUGUAAAAAAAAGGGUAUCCCAUAUCAAUGAAAAUGAUGUUAACAUUCAUGCAUUGAUCAUCGGUUUUAUACGCAUUCACUGUAGUUUUCUGAUGUGACCUCCAGCGACUCUUUCCUGUUUUCAGACCUCAAGAUUGCGGGAAAGCAAUUAUCGAGACAAAACGUACUACAAAAACGUUAUCGAAAAGUUGAAAGAUCGCCAUAAUCGGUGUAUCGGCCUCGCACCUAUGUCGAAUAAUAAGUGUUGGCAAAAAAAGGCUUUGGCUUCAAACCGAUAUUAAUUUUUUAGCCUGCAUGUUUUAAGACAACUCGUAGUGUUAGAAAUACCAUAUUUCUAUAUCAUAAGAAUACAUGUAUGCUGCUGACAUCUGCUUUGUCGCAGAAAUUCAAACGAAGUUUUGGCACUGAGAGAGACAUAUCUGAACUGGUCUAAAAUAAAAGCAAUGAUCUCGUAUAAAACUGUUGAGGAAAUCUAGCAAUGGAUGCCUUGAACGCUGCGGCAAUGGCUACAAAAUUGUGAGUAUUGUGCAUCGCACAUAUUUUUGCUAAAUUUAGUUUCUCGCAUACAAAACAUACACAGAAGACUCUCAUCAUUGAGGGUUGUUGUCUUUUUUUUUGGGUGCUUCGAAUAUAUGGCCGGCUACCGAUUCAACUGCUGUGCUGGUGGGAAAAAUCGAAUCGGUGAAACGCAACAAAGACAGCAUCACCAAGUAAUGCUACAUAUGAACAUUUGGGAUGAAAAUAUAUAGUAAAGCAGGAUAAAACAUCUGAGAAAUCAUACAACACCGAUAAAUAUUGUACGUAACAAAGCAAAACACUGUGCGUGAAUUUGUAGGAAGAAGUGAGACGAGAUAAAUGAUGCUACAAGGAGAGUGAAAUAUUUGGUGGAUGAAAACAGAAGUCUGGUAAAAAGGU